UGAGCAAUCUGCCCUUCUCUUCGGAAUAAGCGUUGGAAACGACGUCUAAUGCCGAAUACGACCUCCUUUCGCAUGAUCGGAGGUGGAAAGCUCCGGCGGAGAAGGAUGAGCUCGCGGCCUAUCAGCUAGUUGGUGUGGGUAAUGGCCCACAAGGCGACGACGAGUAGCCGGCCUGAGAGGGUGACCCGGCCACACGUGGGACUGAGACACGGCCAGACUCCGUACGGGAGCAG
This 233-nucleotide ribosomal RNA is filed under the name uncultured bacterium. RNAcentral describes it as "partial 16S ribosomal RNA". It matches the Rfam family "Bacterial small subunit ribosomal RNA", at positions 118 to 347 of the family's 1533-position model. The record is from RNAcentral.